AGAGUUUGAUUCUGGCUCAGGAUGAACGCUGGCGGCGUGCCUAACACAUGCAAGUCGAGCGAUUCUCUUCGGAGAAGAGCGGCGGACGGGUGAGUAACGCGUGGGUAACCUGCCCUGUACACACGGAUAACAUACCGAAAGGUAUGCUAAUACGGGAUAAUAUGCUUUAGUCGCAUGGCUGAAGUAUCAAAGCUCCGGCGGUACAGGAUGGACCCGCGUCUGAUUAGCUAGUUGGUGAGGUAAUGGCUCACCAAGGCAACGAUCAGUAGCCGACCUGAGAGGGUGAUCGGCCACAUUGGAACUGAGACACGGUCCAAACUCCUACGGGAGGCAGCAGUGGGGAAUAUUGCACAAUGGGCGAAAGCCUGAUGCCAGCAACGCCGCGUGAGCGAUGAAGGCCUUCGGGUCGUAAAGCUCUGUCCUCAAGGAAGAUAAUGACGGUACUUGAGGAGGAAGCCCCGGCUAACUACGUGCCAGCCGCCGC
This 484-nucleotide ribosomal RNA is filed under the name uncultured bacterium. Its description in RNAcentral is "bacterial SSU rRNA". It matches the Rfam family "Bacterial small subunit ribosomal RNA", at positions 8 to 518 of the family's 1533-position model. The record is from RNAcentral.